CCAGCUUCAUCCCGUUCAUAUCCGCAUCCCCUGCAUCCCAAAUCCCAUCGAAUCAAGCCAACCUCCUUCGGAUUCCUUCCAUGUCCACGAACAAAGCCAUCUCUUCCCCUGUUUCGGAACCACUCCCAGCUAUAUCCAAAGCAUCUUUAUCCCAUCUCCCAACCAACUCCAGCUCUCAUCCUUUCCUCCCCUAUUUUAGAUUCAAAACAGAGCCAAUCUCCCAUGGAUCAACAUCUUCCAACCGUUCCCUCUUCCCACAAAUGUCCCAGCUCAUCUUCCCUUCCGUCCGCAUGAACCCAGCAACCGUAUUCAUCCUCAUCCUCCCGUAUCUUCACCUCUAAUCCUCCUAGCGAAUCCCUUGCAUCCUCUUCCCCUGUUCCGAAACAAAGGAAACAACCAUCCGUGAUUCAAGGCCCCUUCCGGAUCAACUCUCGGCCAUCCCGCUCCACGGACGAAGCUCACGCAUAUUCCCCUGCGUCCAGCUCUUAUCCACGAGUUU
Molecule: long non-coding RNA, 499 nt
Filed under: Phoenix dactylifera (date palm)
Lineage: Eukaryota; Viridiplantae; Streptophyta; Magnoliopsida; Arecales; Arecaceae
Description: long non-coding RNA (PDAC_LNC009449)
Source: RNAcentral